Molecule: long non-coding RNA, 773 nt
Filed under: Junco hyemalis (dark-eyed junco)
Lineage: Eukaryota; Metazoa; Chordata; Aves; Passeriformes; Passerellidae
Description: lncRNA (ENSJHYG00000015741.1)
Source: RNAcentral
GCAUGAGGGCCAGCGGGCUGCAGCAGCGCCUGCUUCACUGGGGAGGCAGCAGAGCACCAGGUCGUCGCGAUGGCGAGCUGGUUUUUCGGGAACGGUGAAGCAGGGAAGCAGGACCACAGGGAGGAAAAGGCCAGAAGGAGGGAGAAGGGCUGAGCAGACCCUACAGGGAAACCCCCGUCCCUCCAAGAGGAGGAUCUGCAAGAGAGAGAAGAAUGAACUGUAUUCAGUUUUGAGCCCCUUAUGACAAAAAACUCACUGAAGAGCUGAAGUGUCCAGAGAAGGAGGACAAGGAGUGGCUGAGGGAGCUGGGGCAGCUCAGCCUGGAGAAAAGGAGACUCAGGAGGGACCUUCUCACUCUCUAUAACUCCCUGAAAGGAGGUCCAAGCCAGGUGUGAGUUGGUUUUUUCUCCUAUGUAAAAAGUAACAGGAUAAGAUGAAAUAGCCUCAGGUUGUGCCAGGAGAGGUUUACAUUGGAUAUUGGGAAAAAUUUCUUCACUGUGAAGGUUAUUAAGCACUGGCAUAGGCUGCCCAAGGCAGGGAUGGUGGAGUCACCAUCCCUGGGGAGGUUUAAAAGAUUUGUGAAUGUGGUACUCGAGGACAUGGGUUAGUGGUGAACAUGGUGGUGGUGCUAGUUGAUAUUGAUGAUCCUAGAGGGCUUUUCCAGCCUAAAUGAUUCUAUGGUUCUAUAUUCCAUGAAUUCAGUUCUCCAGUUCUGUGGUGGGAGAACAGAGUACUGGGAACUGACUGAUGUGGCAGUAUGAAGUGAUGGGUGG